Molecule: long non-coding RNA, 3000 nt
Filed under: Pan troglodytes (chimpanzee)
Lineage: Eukaryota; Metazoa; Chordata; Mammalia; Primates; Hominidae
Description: lincRNA
Source: RNAcentral
AGCCUUUGAUGGGGAGAGUCUGAGAUGGGACCCAGGAACAUCACCAUGAAGCUGUCCAGGAUGGAUGUGGGACCCUCUGUCAGACCAGGCCAGUUCUCUUAAUGUAAGAUCAGCAGGCCAAGGUCCUGGGAUAUGGGAGCUCCCAGGAAGUGGACUGGGAUGCCUGAGGGAUCCAAGAAUUAGCAGUGUCCUGUGUGGUCUCGCUGAGGGAAGCCAGGCAAAAUCUAGCGGCUCAGCUGUAACAGCCGGAGCUCUUGGCUCCCAAGCAACAGGAAACAAUUCUGGCUUAUUUAAGCAGAAAAGGACUUUAUCAAAAGGAUCUUGGGGAACUCACAAAAUAACCAAGAGGGCUGAAGAAUCCAGUUUGGUGAGUCGACCAAGGAGGCUGCACAGCAGUCAGGACCACAGCCAAAGUCAGGCAAUCCAGGGAUGACCUCGCUGCCAAAUCCAGGACUCCCUGGCAUACACUGCCACCUUGGGACGUGGAUAUGGUCCCUGUUGCCCCAGGAAAUGGAAUGCCAUUGACUUGGCGACUGCCACCAUCCACCAGAAUGGACUUCUGUGCUCCUUGCAUCUCUGUAUUAUCAGUUCCCAACUCCAAGCCUUUGAUGGGGGCAUCUGAUGGAUUGAGCCUAAGGAUUCUGAUGGUGCCUGUUGGCUGCUUCCGUGAUGUCUGGAGUUGCAAAAUGUGCCAGAAAGCAGAAGGAUACACCGCUAUUCAGAGAGGAUUUUCUUAGGGACUUGAAGAAACUGACCUCAAAAUUUCAGUAGAUGAGAGGACUGUGGCUGGCCUGUGUCUUUGGCACUGGUUGUUGGAGCCCAAUGAAAAAUUCUACAUUGAAGACUAAGGGAAAAAGAGGUUUCAUUAUAGAGCUGGGACUGAUUGCAUUUUCAAAAGGUGGCUGUAACAAUAUCCCACACACUUUUCUGCUGUAUAAUCUGCCACUUCUCCAUCAAGUAGAGGAGACAAUUUCUCCCCUCCUUUGAAUCUGAGUGAGUUCUGUGACUGUUUUGACUGAUAGAAUGAUGUGGAAGACAGACUGCGUGACCUGAAAGGUGAGGUCACAGAAAGCCUUGCAACUUCCACCUGGCCUGUGAAGAACACUUGCUCUUGGGAUACUCCUUCUUGGAACCCAGCCACCAUGCUGUAAGAAGCCCAAUCUACAUGCAGACACCACAUAUAAGGCAUCGUAGUCAACAGCCACAGUUAAGUUCCCAGCCGGCAGCCAACAUUAACUACCAGUCUUGUGAGUGAGCUAUCUUGGACAUCCAGCUUGGUUAAACCUUCAGAUGACUCCAGCCCCAGCUGACACCUGACUGCAACCACAUGAGAAACCAGGAAUGAAAAUCCACCAGCUGAGCCCAGUCAACUCAUAGAACUGUGAGAGAUAAUAAUAAGUUGUGGUACUAAGCCACUAGGAUUGGGGCACCAUGCAAUAAUAGGUAACCAAGACAGUAGCAACUUUGGUUAGACACAUGAGCCAUGGGAUGACACAUAAUUAGGUAUAUUUUUAAAAACUUGGAUUCAGCUUUAGGGCAAUGUGUCCCUAACAUAGAGAGGCACUAUUUCAGUUCACAUCUGCUGCCUUUGAUCAAAACACUCUCUUGCACUUCCAGAGAGAGAGAGAGAGAGCAAAUGUGUGUAUUUACUGACAGGUGUCCCUUUGUGUCCCCAUCUGUGUGACUGUGGAGCUCAGUGUCUCUCACACAUUCUAGUAUGAUACUUGGUGCCAUAUUUGCAGGUCCUGAGGUAAGAACCCAUGCUGUCGUCUUCAGAGAGUUUCAUGGGUUGGACUGUGCCAUAUAUGGGCAAAAAUCCACUCACACGUUUUCUUUUAAUCACCUUUAUGGAUGUAUAAUUUACAUAUAUACUUUUUUCUUAUUACUUUUUAUUUAUGUAAUUUAUUCAUUUUUUGAGAUAGGGUCUCACUCUCUUGCCCAGGCUGGAGUGCAGUGGAGUGAUCAUGGCUCACUGCAGCCUUGACCUCCUGGGCUUAAGCAAUCCUCCCACUUCAGCCACCUGAGUAGCUGGGACCACAGGCACACACCACCACUCCUGGCUAAUUUAAAAAGUUGUUUUUUUUUUUUUUUGUAGAGACAGGGUCUCACUAUGUUGUCAAGGCUGGUCUCAAACUCCUGGGCUCAAGCGAUCCUAGUGCCUCAGCCUUCCAAAUUUCCGGGAUUACAAGCAUGAGCCACCAUGCCUGGCAUCUUUUGUGGAUGUAUAAUUUACAUACGUACAAUAAUAUGUACCUAUUUUAAGUAUACAGUUUGAUGAGCUUUGACAAAUGUAGCCCACGAAACCACCACCAUAAUCGAAGUAUAGAACUUUUUUUUUUUUUUUUUUUUUUGAGACGAAGUCUCUCUCUUGUCACCCAGGCUGGAGUGCAAUGGCAUGAUCCCGGCUCACCGAAACUUCCGCCUCCCAGGUUCAAGCGAUUCUCCUGCCUCAGCCUCCUGAGUAGCUGGGAUUACAGGCGCCUGCCACCACGCCCAGCUAAUUUUUGUAUUUUUAGUAGAGACAGUGUUUCACCAUGCUGGCCAGGCUGGUCUCGAGCUCCUGACCUCAGGUGAUCCCCCCUCCUUGGCCUCCCAAAGUGCUGGGAUUACAGGCAUGAGCCACCGCGCCCGGCCUAUAGAACAUUUUAAUCACCCCAGAGACGUGCCCCCUGUGCAGCCAGUUCCCUCCUCUCACCCCCCAGCCCCUGGCAAGCAUUGAUUUGCUUUGCCACUAUCAAUCAAUUUAUGUCUUUUCUGGUAUUUCAUAUGAAUGGAAUCAUAUAGGAUAGAUUUUUAUGUGACUACACACUAUUUUAGCAUAAUAUUUUUGAAGUUCUUCCAUGUUGUUGUGUAUAUCUAUAGUUAAUUUCUUUUUCUCACUGAAUUGUGUACCACUGUAUGAUGUAUCACAAUUUGUUUAUUCAUUCUCCCGUUGCUGGACAUUUGGACUGUUUAUUGUUUGGGGCUACUAUGAAUAAAACUGCUAUGGAUGUUUAUGUA